AGUAGCGGUGAAAUGCGUAGAUAUCUGGAGGAAUACCAAAGGCGAAGGCAGUCCCCUGGUCCGAUACUGACACUGAGGUACGAAAGCGUGGGGAGCAAACAGGAUUAGAUACCCUGGUAGUCCACGCCCUAAACGAUGUCGAUUAGCCAUUGGAAGGACCCCUUUUCCUUUCAGUGACGUAGCUAACGCGUUAAAUCGACCGCCUGGGAAGUACGACCGCAAGGUUAAAACUCAAAGGAAUUGACGGGGACCUGAACAAGCGGUGAAUGAUGUGGAUUAAUUCGAUGCUACGCGAAGAACCUUACCUACCUUUGACAUGGCCAAAGUUCUACCGAGAGGCGGAAGUACUCGUAAGAGGAUUGGCGCACAGGUGCUGCAUGGUUGUCGUCAGUUCGUGUCGUGAGAUGUUGGGUUCAGUCCCGCAACGAACGCAACCCUUAUCUUUAAUUGCUCCUAUUUUAACAGGCACUUUAAAGAAACUGCCAAUGAUAAGUUGGAGGAAGGUGGGGAUCACGUCAAGUCCGCAUGGCCUUUAUAGGUAGGGCUUCACACGUCAUACAAUGGUUAGAACAAAGAGCUGCAAAUUCGUAAGAAGGAGCCAAUCUCACAAACCUAACCUCAGUUCGAAUUGCGGUCUGCAACUCGAGCGCAUGAAGCCGGAAUCGCUCGUAAUCGUGGAUCAGAAUGCCU
RNAcentral lists this ribosomal RNA (690 nucleotides) under uncultured Candidatus Tremblayella sp. Its description in RNAcentral is "bacterial SSU rRNA". It matches the Rfam family "Bacterial small subunit ribosomal RNA", at positions 674 to 1359 of the family's 1533-position model. Lineage: Bacteria; Pseudomonadati; Pseudomonadota; Betaproteobacteria. The record is from RNAcentral.